UACGUAGGGGGCAAGCGUUAUCCGGAUUUACUGGGUGUAAAGGGAGCGUAGACGGCGAUGCAAGCCAGAUGUGAAAGCCCGGGGCUCAACCCCGGGACUGCAUUUGGAACUGUAUAGCUAGAGUGUCGGAGAGGCAGGCGGAAUUCCUAGUGUAGCGGUGAAAUGCGUAGAUAUUAGGAGGAACACCAGUGGCGAAGGCGGCCCGCUGGACGAUGACUGACGUUGAGGCUCGAAAGCGUGGGGAGCAAACAGG
Molecule: ribosomal RNA, 253 nt
Filed under: uncultured bacterium
Lineage: Bacteria
Description: partial 16S ribosomal RNA
Rfam family: Bacterial small subunit ribosomal RNA
Source: RNAcentral